AGUGAACGCUGGCGGUAGGCCUAACACAUGCAAGUCGAACGGCAGCACAGUAAGAGCUUGCUCUUACGGGUGGCGAGUGGCGGACGGGUGAGGAAUACAUCGGAAUCUACUUUUUCGUGGGGGAUAACGUAGGGAAACUUACGCUAAGACCGCAUACGACCUACGGGUGAAAGCAGGGGAUCUUCGGACCUUGCGCGAUUGAAUGAGCCGAUGUCGGAUUAGUUAGUUGGCGGGGUAAAGGCCCACCAAGGCGACGAUCCGUAGCUGGUCUGAGAGGAUGAUUCGCCACACUGGCACUGAGACACGGCCCAGACUCUUGCGGGAGGCCGCAGUGGGGAAUAUUGCACAAUGGACGAAAGCCUGAUCCAGCCCUACCGCGUGGGUGAAGAAGGCCUUCGGGUUGUAGAGCCCUUUUGUUGGGAAAAAAAAGCAGCAGUUUAAUACCCCGCUGUUCUGACGGUACCCAAAGAAUAAGCCCCGGCUAACUUCGUG
Molecule: ribosomal RNA, 492 nt
Filed under: uncultured bacterium
Lineage: Bacteria
Description: partial 16S ribosomal RNA
Rfam family: Bacterial small subunit ribosomal RNA
Source: RNAcentral